RNAcentral lists this ribosomal RNA (253 nucleotides) under uncultured bacterium. RNAcentral's name for it is "partial 16S ribosomal RNA". It matches the Rfam family "Bacterial small subunit ribosomal RNA", at positions 524 to 776 of the family's 1533-position model. The record is from RNAcentral.
UACGGAGGGGGCAAGCGUUAUUCGGAAUUAUUGGGCGUAAAGGGCGCGUAGGCGGCUAGAUGUGUCAAAGGUGAAAUCCCUCGGCUCAACUGAGGAACUGCCUUUGAAACUGUCUGGCUUGAGGCCGGGAGAGGGUAGCGGAAUUCCCAGUGUAGCGGUGAAAUGCGUAGAUAUUGGGAGGAACACCGGUGGCGAAGGCGGCUACCUGGACCGGUUCUGACGCUGAGGCGCGAAAGCGUGGGUAGCAAACAGG